GUUUGAUAAGGACUGGAGAGCUAAAAGACCACAGGUGCAAAAGAGAUUCACACUUUGCAGUUUCUUUGCCAAGAUCUUUGAGCUGCUUGACUUCUUUCGCCUCGGAGAUGACCUCUCAGUCGACGAUCGCCUCUCCCAGCUUUUCCUCGGUGAUGAACGUUUCUCAUCUCUUCUUCUCAGUGAGGAUCGUCUCUCGCGGCACCUUGAGCGUGAUCGAUAUCGUGAAGAGGAAGGACGGUCAUACCACGAGGAGUCAGAAUGAGACCGGGACCUGAAAAAAGUAUGGAUCAAAGAACUUAAUAACUCAGAAACAUCUCAAAGCACACACCCAGCAUGGAUACAAAAGACCUGCGAUUGCGUCUGGACCUGUACAGAGAUCGUGAUUGGCUUCUGUGUCUCUCCCUUCGGCGGCUGCGUAAUUGAGAACAGGAAUGACUGUUCCUCCUAUUCUGCAAGUCACGGAGAAUACACAGUGCUGGUCCUGCUGGAUCUCAGCUCUGCUUUUGACACUGUAGAUCACAGUAUCAUGAUAAACAGACUCGAGAACUUGUUUGGGAUUACUGGUGUUGUUUUAAAAUGGUUUAUAUCAUAUCUGUCUGAG
Astatotilapia calliptera (eastern happy) is the source of this 601-nucleotide long non-coding RNA. Lineage: Eukaryota; Metazoa; Chordata; Actinopteri; Cichliformes; Cichlidae. The record is from Ensembl.